CUGAGGGGCAGAGGGUAGACCAAGCUCAGCUCUAACUGUAAACAUACUGUACAGGGUACCAAAGGAACAAAGCCUGGCUAACUGAAGGCUAUGGUAUCAACAGAAAUUUCAGGGUCUGGAAAAAGGGCAGGACUGUUAGAUAAAUUCCCAGGUCUACGAAUGAGCAAGUUAUUAUAAUUAGGAAAGGAUCAAACGUCACCUAUUCAGUAAUACUGUAACAGAAGACAAAGGUAAUAAUGAUUUUUCAAAGAACUUCUGACAUGCCUGCUCUG
This 272-nucleotide long non-coding RNA is filed under the name Gallus gallus (chicken). Its description in RNAcentral is "long non-coding RNA NONGGAT008327". The record is from RNAcentral. Lineage: Eukaryota; Metazoa; Chordata; Aves; Galliformes; Phasianidae.